GACGAACGCUGGCGGCGUGCCUAACACAUGCAAGUCGAACGGGGCACCUUCGGGUGCUUAGUGGCGAACGGGUGAGUAACGCGUGAGAAACCUGCCUUUCAGAGGGGGACAACAGUUGGAAACGACUGCUAAUACCGCAUAACGUAUAUUUAUGGCAUCGUAGAUAUACCAAAGGAGCAAUCCGCUGAAAGAUGGACUCGCGUCCGAUUAGGUAGUUGGUGAGGUAAUGGGCUCACCAAGCCGACGAUUGGUAGCCGGACUGAGAGGUUGAACGGCCACAUUGGGACUGAGACACGGCCCAGACUCCUACGGGAGGCAGCAGUGGGGAAUAUUGCACAAAUGGGCGAAAAGCCUGAUGCAGCAACGCCGCGUGAGGGAAGAC
This 382-nucleotide ribosomal RNA is filed under the name uncultured bacterium. Its description in RNAcentral is "bacterial SSU rRNA". It matches the Rfam family "Bacterial small subunit ribosomal RNA", at positions 28 to 412 of the family's 1533-position model. The record is from RNAcentral.